UUUGUGGUACCUUGUGGUAUGCACAUAAUAAAUUAUUGUGUUACUUCAUUACGUUUAGCGUGUAUGUUUACAUUGAGUAUCUGUCAUAUGUGGAGAUGUUGUUAUUGUUGUCUGGAGUGUGAAUCAUUGUAUGUAAUAUUGAAGUAUCGGUAAUAAAGUGUAUACAAAUAAUGAAUACAGUUGUUGAAUAAUCAUUACAGAGAAAGAUUCUCACAUUGGCGACGAGAACGGUGAACAGUGCAUGUGAAAUUAGUUUAAUUUCGGUUCGGGAAGUGUUGUCUUUGGAAAAAGAAAGAGAUGAGUGGUGUGUGUGGUGCAUGCAGAGUGGUGAUGACCUUCAGGUGAUGACUUGUGAUUGAAUUUCAACAUUGGAAUCAAAAAGGUACAACCAUAAGUAACAGCCAAGUAAUUUACCAAAAUGCCGAGCAGAGAUGGAUGACCAAAUGGAUGACUGUACUACUAAUUCUGAUGUGAGAUUGAAGCGAGACGUUCAUAAACUGAGGAGACUAUAAGCAAAAACAACGUGGAGUGACCUUGCUGCGGAUCUGGAGAAAAAACGAGAUGUGGUACCUUGUGGUAUGCACAUAAUAAAUUAUUGUGUUACUUCAUUACGUUUAGCGUGUAUGUUUACAUUGAGUAUCUGUCAUAUGUGGAGAUGUUGUUAUUGUUGUCUGGAGUGUGAAUCAUUGUAUGUAAUAUUGAAGUAUCGGUAAUAAAGUGUAUACAAAUAAUGAA
Molecule: long non-coding RNA, 735 nt
Organism: Aedes albopictus (Asian tiger mosquito)
Lineage: Eukaryota; Metazoa; Arthropoda; Insecta; Diptera; Culicidae
Exons: 2
Source: RefSeq, a predicted model, not a curated record